UGAAGAUAUAUUUCCUAUAAGAUCAUCCCGCAGAGAAAAAUCAUUUUGUCUUUGUAGAAACUAAGAUAAAAAGAUUAAACUCGUCAGUUAUGACCAAUUUGUCAAAAACAAAGGACACAUGCAUAGAAAAGGAUACAUCACUUUGAAUUUGCCUUAUUUAAACAUACCACAUAUUUGAUAUAGAACAAAUUCGCUGGAGAUGAGGCAGGUUUUACAUUACCUUGAUGAAACCACCUUUUUGUUAAGCAUGUAGCUAGUCAUGCAUGGGUCUUAACACCAUGAUUAACCAUGAACGGGUUAAUCAUUGUAGCACAUGUGAGAUACAUAGGCGCGUAUUUAGUGUCCAACACAUUGCCGCACUCAGGAUAUUGUCUUCCAAAGUGAUGUACAACGAAUAUCUGGUACAUGCCGAAUUUGGAGUACAUUGUUUUGGGUGUUCGUACAACCCCGGUGCAAUAUGUUCAAACUUGCCUAUUUUUGCCAGCGGUACGAAGACUAUACGAUCUGGGCAGUGUUUUUUGCUAGAGGGAAUCAUAGGUACAGGAUGUAAUUAGGUAUUUAUGACUUCCACAUGGAGACACAUCAUGUAUAUAGAUGAAAAGCAAAGAUCGAUUUGAUACCUGAUGGAUAAUACUUUGAUACGUACGUGUGUAUUGAUUGCUACAUGAAAAUUAUCUAGCUUCAUAUUGGCCAAGCGUACCCUGUUGAGAUCACAGCUGAACACAACUUGGACGGUGAGCUUGGAUCACCGGCGGAUACAACUUGCCCGCCCGGGUCAUGAACGGGGCAGUAGUGUAGCACUAUCUUUUUUUCCAGAUCAACCUUCCACACACUGAUUGAAUAGAAUAUUGAUGGGACCAUUAGAUAGGAGGCAAAUAAAAACAAAUCAAGAAAGGAUACAGCGGCGGCUAGGUUAGAGAGAUACCUUAUAAUAAAAAAAAUACGGGUUGAUGGAUUCAUACAUUGUGCUAGCCGGCUUGCUGUUGAUCGAUUUCAUAGGAACACACGUGUAUAGGAUGCAAAUCAUGAACUGAUUUAGUAGCCGGUGGCUCUUAGUUUGCAGGUGGGUCUGCUAGCUUCGUGAAAAUUCAUCUACCUUCAUAUAUGAGAACCUGGAUUAGUCACCACGAAUGAUGGAAAGGAAAUAAAUCAAGGGUGGCGGCUAGGUUAAAAGUAUUACGUGGGGAUCUGUU
Molecule: long non-coding RNA, 1193 nt
Filed under: Hordeum vulgare
Lineage: Eukaryota; Viridiplantae; Streptophyta; Magnoliopsida; Poales; Poaceae
Description: long non-coding RNA (HVUL_LNC017323)
Source: RNAcentral